RNAcentral lists this ribosomal RNA (278 nucleotides) under uncultured bacterium. RNAcentral's name for it is "partial 16S ribosomal RNA". It matches the Rfam family "Bacterial small subunit ribosomal RNA", at positions 524 to 796 of the family's 1533-position model. The record is from RNAcentral.
UACGUAGGUGGCAAGCGUUGUCCGGAAUUAUUGGGCGUACAGCGCGCGCAGGCGGCCUCUUAAGUCUGAUGUGAAAGCCCCCCGGCUCAACCGGGGAGGGCCAUUGGAAACUGGGAGGCUUGAGUAUAGGAGAGAAGAGUGGAAUUCCACGUGUAGCGGUGAAGUGCGUAGAGAUGUGGAGGAACACCAGUGGCGAAGGCGACUCUUUGGCCUAUAACUGACGCUGAGGCGCGAAAGCGUGGGGAGCAAACAGGGAUUAAGAAACCCUGGGUAAGUCC